This 429-nucleotide ribosomal RNA is filed under the name Bacteroidota bacterium. RNAcentral's name for it is "Bacteroidetes bacterium partial 16S ribosomal RNA". It matches the Rfam family "Bacterial small subunit ribosomal RNA", at positions 355 to 776 of the family's 1533-position model. Lineage: Bacteria; Pseudomonadati; Bacteroidota. The record is from RNAcentral.
UAGGGAAUCUUCGGCAAUGGGGGGAACCCUGACCGAGCAACGCCGCGUGAGUGAAGAAGGUUUUCGGAUCGUAAAGCUCUGUUGUUAAGGAAGAACGAGUGUGAGAAUGGAAAGUUCAUGCUGUGACGGUACUUAACCAGAAAGGGACGGCUAACUACGUGCCAGCAGCCGCGGUAAUACGUAGGUCCCGAGCGUUGUCCGGAUUUAUUGGGCGUAAAGCGAGCGCAGGCGGUUAGAAAAGUCUGAAGUGAAAGGCAGUGGCUCAACCAUUGUAAGCUUUGGAAACUGUUUAACUUGAGUGCAGAAGGGGAGAGUGGAAUUCCAUGUGUAGCGGUGAAAUGCGUAGAUAUAUGGAGGAACACCGGUGGCGAAAGCGGCUCUCUGGUAUGUAACUGACGCGGAGGCUCGAAAGCGUGGGGAGCGAACAGG